AUACGUAGGGGGCGAGCGUUGUCCGGAAUGAUUGGGCGUAAAGGGCGCGUAGGCGGCGCGGUAAGUCUGGAGUGAAAGUCCUGCUUUCAAGGUGGGAAUUGCUUUGGAUACUGCCGCGCUUGAGUGCAGGAGAGGUUAUCGGAAUUCCCGGUGUAGCGGUGAAAUGCGUAGAGAUCGGGAGGAACACCAGUGGCGAAGGCGGGUAACUGGACUGCAACUGACGCUGAGGCGCGAAAGUGUGGGGAGCAAACAGGAUUAGAUACCCUGGUAGUCCACACUGUAAACGAUGAAUGCUAGGUGUAAGAGGUAUCGACCCCUUUUGUGCCGGAGUUAACACAAUAAGCAUUCCGCCUGGGGAGUACGGCCGCAAGGUUGAAACUCAAAGGAAUUGACGGGG
This 397-nucleotide ribosomal RNA is filed under the name uncultured bacterium. RNAcentral's name for it is "partial 16S ribosomal RNA". It matches the Rfam family "Bacterial small subunit ribosomal RNA", at positions 523 to 918 of the family's 1533-position model. The record is from RNAcentral.